This 3844-nucleotide unclassified non-coding RNA is filed under the name Leishmania donovani. Its description in RNAcentral is "gene:LdHU3.33.1510(CDS-product:hypothetical_prote in_conserved)". The record is from RNAcentral. Lineage: Eukaryota; Euglenozoa; Kinetoplastea; Trypanosomatida; Trypanosomatidae.
AUUUUGCGUGCGCCUCAUCUUGUCUCCUCGCUGUCUUUCCUUUUCGCCCUUUCGCGACACUAUCCGUGAAGAAGAGCUGGCUGAAGCGGACGAAAAUGCUUGUGGCUGUGUCCAUGCACGCGUGCUCGGCGUGGCCGGUGAGCAUUGACUUCGUUGCCUUCCGCUUUUUCUUGGCGGGGUACUCGGUGGAGGAGGCAGUGGAGCAGCUCAUGGCGCUGCAGAGUGAAACGCCAGCGGCGUCCCCGCGGCGGCGGACGUCCUCUGCGUCGCCCUCUUCCACAGGGUCAUCGGACGGAGGCAGAGCUUCGCACGCGGGAUCGGCGUCGUCUUCUCGAUCCGCCACCCGCUCCAAGGCGCGCCGUCGCCAUCGAAGGCAACAGCGGACACCUCAGCAACGCCAGGACUCGCUGCCCGUGAUGCACAAUGCACAACAGCAAACUGAGGACAGGCGCCUAGAGGUCGAAGAUGAGAAUCCGCAGGAGAUUGCCGUGGCCACCACGGCGGCAGCUCUGCCCCGCAACACCUCAAUAAGCAGCUCCGCGAGCGGCGCACCCGUCCCAGCCACCACCGCAGCGCCAAGCACCACAACCGCGGUAGAUAACAGCAACACCAACGUAUCUGCUUCAUCAUCUACGACGGUCGCCGUGCCGGCGUCCUCCUCGGCUUUCCACGCCGCCCCGGGCGGCGCCAACACGCACCACCAUCGUCAUCGACAUCACCACCAGCGUCUGGACAAGUCGCCCGGCGGUUCCGGAUGCAAAAAGUCGUGCCACUCAGCGCCGCACUCGUCCCGGUCACGCACAGCCACGCAGUCGUCAAAGACGGCCGCGCGCACCUCGUUUGCGCUGCCGUCGACGCUGAAUAACGAGUACAGCGAUGCACUGCCGCUUUCUGCAGACCUCAGUAAUUUCAGACGUUUCAGCGAUGACGCUACCGUCGCUGACACUGCAGCAGCGGCCGCCAGUGAUACCGGCGGCGGCAGUGGAGCGCGGGCAGGCGGGGCGAGCAGCAGCCACCACCUUCACCAUGUCAAUUUCGGUGAUAUGAAGGCCUCCCCAUCCUUGCAGCAGCGCCGCGAGAAGCAUCGCAAGGACAGUGCAGAGCGGCACUGCUUCUUCUUGAGCGAGAGCUACAUCAAGUUUCAGCGGCAGCUACAGGAGUUCGAGGCGAUUGGCGGGGUCGGCGUCGUCUCCUCCUCCCUGCAGAGUCGCUACCUGUUCGAAGAGGUGACGGAGCAGUAUCAGGUGUUUCGCGAGCUGUCCCGCGAGGAGCAGCUCGGCUCCCCGUACGCGUUUCUCUCGAACUAUUAUAUCCCCAUACCUGUGACAACGCGUCUGCAGCUGCUGCAAAUGUACUACGAGACGGACGCGGGCGUCUUUCGGUGGGCCUUCGGCGACAAGCUAAGCCGUUUCGACCUGCCAGCGGCACUGAGUGCAGCGCGCGAAGAGAACGUGAGUGGAACACUGUCGGCGGGCUUUGGGAGUGUGGCGGGACUUGGCAGCGGUGGUGGUAGCAGCAGCGGCGCAGCGGACGGCGGCGUUACCGCCGCGUCCUUCUGGACCAGCCGGUGGAAAGGCUCCCCUGGUAAGCUUGCAGCGAUGGACGCGGCGACGGUGACGCGGCUGAGUGAGCAGCACGUCGACGCCCUUCGCCGCCAGUGGGAGAAUGUCAAACACGUCUGCGUCACCGUCGCAGCCCUCUAUCGCGGCAAAGGCGGCAUGUGCGUCCCGCUUGAUAUGCCGCUCCUGACGACCAUCCAGCAGUGCUUCGGGCUACGCCAUGAGCAGGCUCUCGAUUAUGCCACGGCUGCCUUCGGCUUCGAACACCGUCUCGAGACGCGCCUCUUCGAGCACUUGCACAACUUCAACGAGUACGGCGUAAUUUGCUCCAUCGUGGCGUCUUUGUGGUGCGACUGCUCCGGGUAUUUCCUAAGCGGAUCGUUCCGCGACGGGUGCCGCCGACUUGGCCGCCUGCUGGACGAGUAUCGAAUUCUGUCGGAGCUGCACUUGAUCGUGUUUGGCGAAGCAAUGCGUCCGCGGUGGCAGGUGCAGCUAGAUGAGGUGCAGCGCGUCAUCACGACAUCUUCCCAUGUCGAUAAAAACGCAAUGGCCUCAGCAACGGCGGCCGUCUCUGCCACAAGCCCAGUCACACCCAGCGUCAGCGGUGGUGGAGGGGGCAUCGCAACACCAACGACAAUGUCUGCUGGCAUGUUGCCUAGCUUUUCGAGCGGCGCCGCUGGAGUGGGCAGCAACCACUUUGGUAGCCCACUGUGCGGAAACGGACACCCGGGCGGCGCGACUGGUGGGGCCGCGGCUGACGCGGGCAACGCGAGCGCUUACACCUCACCAGUAUUCCCGACUACAGGCGGGGCGUUCAGCGCGAACAACGUGCACUCGCCGCUCAGCGGCAACGGGCAGUACAGCCGCCCUUUUUUGAUGGAGUUCCCAUCCCUGAUGAAGCACCUUUUGCGCGUCUGCGUGGCUCUCAGUAGCAACGGUGGCGUCAACGAUGGCCUCGACAUCUUUUUCACUCGCAUCUACUCUUACUUAGAGCUUCUCAGCUCACGAACUGCGCCAGCGAUCGUGUCGCGCGUGAUGAACGCCGCUGCAUCAGGCGGGUCCACCAUGACCGGCGCCGCUGCUGCUGUUGGGACCGGGGGACUUGCCAGCCCCCUAUCUGGCCAGCUUGGUGGGUCGGUGGGCGGUGGUGGCGCUGUGCCCGGCAUCGGCGCGUCCGUAGCGCCGUCUGGACGACCGCCGCUGCCGCCCUACGGUGAACGCGCACAGAGCGACGGAGAUUUGAGCCGCACCACGGCUAACAGCGGAAGUGCGAUGGCGCCAGCUGCCGCCUCGACGCCGCCGCCUCAAGGUUUAUCCUCGUCGUUAGCCCCUUUGACGCGCGGUGGCACGAACCUCGGCAGACCGCUCCGGUCAGGCCUCACUCGUGUGUCGUCUUCUGGACUUCUUCCCCGCCAAGCCCCCGGCAGAGGAGGCGGCAAUGCGGUCGCGAUGUCGCUGCUGACAGUUGCCAGCGCCACCAACCUUCGCACCGGUGUAGAAGGCAGCGGUUGCGUUGAUGAAGGCAUGUCCGCGAGCGCGCCGUUCUCCUACGCCGUAUCUACUGUGGUAAACACCUCUUUGCUUCAGCCUGCCAGCGUUCUGCUGCCCUUGACGGCGGCCAUCGCUGCCCAUAACGGCCCCGCAAGCGGAGGCGUUGCCUCGUCGCCGCUGCAGUCUGCGCUGGGAAGUCGCGGUUGCGCGUCCGGAGACGAGCCCACCGACGGGGACGCGGACGCAGAAAGCGGACACGGUGAGGCUGCGGCUCGGCCCGCGGCGGGUGGGUCUUCGCCGAAUAGCGGCGGCGCUCUUUCGUCGUUGACGGCACAGCCCCUGCCUGCGUCGACGUCGUCCUUGCCGUCGCAGGUAAGUGACAUGGUUCUGAAAGUGAUCGACAAGCGGUAUCUGCGCGAGCUUUGCAUGCUGCUCACAGCCCUUCCCUGUGCGUGGCACCAGCUGACAGUGCUGACGAGGGACGACCACAUGGCGACAGACAAGUCUGUGAGCGAUAUGAUGAUGGCUCUGAAAGCAAUCACGCAGGUGCUCAUGGCAUCGGACGACUUUCAUUAGGCGCGCUCUCCAACUCCGUUAUCAUGCGUGUGUGUGUGUGUGUCUGUGUCUGCCUGCGUGUCGAUGACGGUGCUGCUUAGAUCUCUGUCCGCCGCACGAGAGAGACGUAUUAUGGAGCUCCGAUCGCACGCACAAGAAGGCGCAAGAGAGGCACACGCAUGCGCGCACAUGCGUAGUGAGGCCCAUGCCGAAAGCCUUCUCCCCCAUCCUUCGAGACG